RNAcentral lists this unclassified non-coding RNA (279 nucleotides) under plant metagenome. Its description in RNAcentral is "partial contains small subunit ribosomal RNA, internal transcribed spacer 1, and 5.8S ribosomal RNA". The stretch from base 1 to 54 matches the Rfam family "Eukaryotic small subunit ribosomal RNA", at positions 1778 to 1831 of the family's 1831-position model. The record is from RNAcentral.
GGAAGUAAAAGUCGUAACAAGAUUUCCGUAGGUGAACCUGCGGAAGGAUCAUUAACGAGUUAGGGUCUUCUAGGCCCGACCUCCCAACCCUUUGUUUACUGAACCAUUGUUGCCUCGGUGGGUCCGUCUUACGACCGCCGGGGGAUCGCCGCGAGGCGCCCCCUGGCCAGCGCCCACCGAUAGCCCAACCUUUAAAACCCUUUGUGAAUCGUGUCUUAUGUCUAAAUUUAUGAUUAAACAAUCAAAACAAAACUUUCAACAACGGAUCUCUUGGUUCUG